Long non-coding RNA from Schistocerca gregaria, 1050 nucleotides. RefSeq lists it as uncharacterized. The transcript is spliced from 2 exons. NCBI's taxonomy places the organism in Eukaryota, Metazoa, Arthropoda, Insecta, Orthoptera, Acrididae. The record is from RefSeq and is a predicted model, not a curated record.
UUCAUUACAACAGCAAUUAAUAUACGAUCAGAAAGUAUAACUUUAGAUCAAACACCUUUAUUUGUAUGAUCUGUAGCUAUUACAGCAUUACUUCUCCUUCUUUCACUUCCAGUUUUAGCAGGAGCUAUUACUAUAUUAUUAACAGAUCGAAAUUUAAAUACAUCAUUCUUUGACCCUGCAGGAGGGGGUGACCCAAUUCUAUAUCAACAUCUAUUUUGAUUCUUUGGACACCCAGAAGUUUAUAUUUUAAUUCUACCGGGGUUCGGAAUUAUUUCACAUAUUGUAUGUCAAGAAAGAGGAAAAAUUGAAUCAUUUGGAACAUUAGGUAUAAUUUAUGCUAUACUAUCAAUUGGACUAAUAGGAUUUAUUGUAUGAGCACAUCAUAUAUUUACAGUAGGAAUGGAUGUUGACAUACGAGCAUAUUUUACAUCAGCAACAAUAAUUAUUGCUGUACCUACAGGAAUUAAGGUAUUUAGAUGAUUAGCUACAUUAUAUGGAACUAAAUUCAAGUUCAAUCCACCAUUAUUAUGAGCUCUAGGAUUUAUUUUCCUAUUUACAAUUGGUGGAUUAACAGGAUUAGUAUUAGCAAAUUCAUCACUUGAUAUUGUAUUACAUGAUACAUAUUAUGUAGUAGCCCACUUUCAUUAUGUAUUAUCUAUAGGAGCAGUAUUUGCAAUUAUAGGAGGUGUCAUUCAAUGAUAUCCACUAUUUACAGGAUUAACUAUAAAUAAUACAUGAUUAAAAAUCCAAUUUACAAUUAUAUUCAUUGGAGUAAAUUUAACAUUCUUUCCUCAACACUUCCUAGGAUUAGCAGGAAUACCUCGACGAUACUCUGACUACCCAGACGCAUAUACAUCAUGAAACGUAGUAUCAAGAAUUGGGUCUACAAUUUCUAUUAAGGAAUCAUUAUAUUCAUUGUAAUUAUAUGAGAAAGAAUGAUUACAAACCGAGCAAUUAUAUUUAGAGCUAACAUAAGAAGAUCAACAGAAUGAUUACAAAAUAACCCUCCUGCAGAACAUAGUUACUCAGAAUUACCAUUAAUCUCUAGAU